This 254-nucleotide ribosomal RNA is filed under the name uncultured prokaryote. RNAcentral's name for it is "partial 16S ribosomal RNA". It matches the Rfam family "Bacterial small subunit ribosomal RNA", at positions 525 to 777 of the family's 1533-position model. The record is from RNAcentral.
ACGUAGGGGGCGAGCGUUGUCCGGAUUUAUUGGGCGUAAAGAGCUCGUAGGCGGCUCGGUAAGUCAGGUGUGAAAACUCUAGGCUCAACCUAGAGACGCCACCUGAUACUGCUGUGGCUAGAGUCCGGUAGGGGAGCAUGGAAUUCCUGGUGUAGCGGUGAAAUGCGCAGAUAUCAGGAGGAACACCAGUGGCGAAGGCGGUGCUCUGGGCCGGAACUGACGCUGAGGAGCGAAAGCGUGGGGAGCAAACAGGA